AUUUGUCACAAACAAACGAAAGUGCUACAGUUCCGAAAAGUUUUCACUUUUCGGAACUAAACAAGGCCUCAGUACGACCGGGGGAGAGCUCGAGGAGUAGGGUUGGUUGGAGAGGCGUAGGGGCGCGUGCGAAGGGCGCUCGAGUUGUUGUUCUUCCUGGGCUUCGCCGGCUCCGUUUUCUUCCACCUUUGUGUGGGCGUCAAGUCAAGACAGCAGCGUCGUCGCCGUUUCAUCUCCGCGGUCAGGUUUGGUGGCACUGGUCCUGUAGCAGUUCAGGGGCGAGAGGGAGAUGGACAUGGACUUGGCUGGUCGCUGUGCCGCUCGGAACUGGGGCGAGGGCGAGGUGUUCGUGGGUAAGGGUCGCGGGCGUUGUGCGGCUGGGAGGCGGCUACCGAGGCGACGGAAUUAAAGCGGUAGUAGACGAGAGCGCCCCGAUUUAUAAAGCGGCUUUGUGUGGCUCGCUGCUCGCCUCUGCUCCACUCCUCUCACCUGGUCACUGCUCCUCCGACCUCGCGUUCCUUCGGCGGGGCUCAGGCGGUGGCUGCUCGCUCGCUGCUGGUUCAGAUCCUUAUCCCCUUCGCUGCAUCGAGGCCGUUCGGAGCUUGGAGUUUGGAGCUGUCCUUUCUGCUUUACAAUACAACCACAAGAUGGGGCUGGCGGAGCAGCGCGUGGAGGUGCGGGGCGCGGCGAAUCGCAGGUGAUCCCGGUCAUGGGGUAGAGUGGAGGCGGUGGUGUGUGUGUGGGGUAUGGAGCCGUCCCGUGGCGCUGCUGGCGGCGGGCGGCGGUGGGGGGACGCGGAGGCGGAGGCGGAGGGCGAUGCGGCGGAUGAAGGGAGACGAGGGGAGGACGGGGGCGAGGUGAGCCUGCGGGAGUGGCUGGACCGGCCGGGCCGCGCGGUGGAGGCGGCGGAGUGCGUGCACGUGUUCAGGCAGGUGGCGGAGGCUGUGGCCGUCGCGCACGCGCAGGGGGUGGCCGUGGGCAGCGCGCGGCCGUCGUGCUUCGUCGUGUCGCCGCCCUUCGCGCGCGUCGCCUUCAUCGAGUCCGCCUCCGGCUCCGACGCCUCCGGUUCGUGCUCGGGCUCUGACGCCUCCGAGGACGCCGACCGGGACGCCUCGCCUCCGCGGCGACGCGACGGCGCAGGCCGCGGUGAGGAGCGCGCCGGGAAGUCGUUCCCGCUCAAGAGCGUGCUGGCCAUGGAGCUCAACUGGUACACCAGCCCCGAGGAGGCGGACGACAGCGCCGCUACCUUCGCCUCUGACGUUUACAGACUGGGUGUGCUCUUGUUCGAGCUGUUCUGUACAUUCGAAACCAUGGAAGACAAGAUGCGGGCAAUGGCGAAUCUGCGGCACCGGGUGUUGCCACCACAGUUGCUGCUCAAAUGGCCCAAGGAAGCAUCCUUCUGCCAGUUGCUAAUGCACCCUGUGCCAGAAACCAGACCGAAGAUGAGUGAGGUGUUGCAGAGUGAGUUCCUUAAUCAGUCAAGGAAUAGCCUGGAAGAGCGUGAAGCAGCACUUAGGUUACGCGAAGAGAUUGAAGAACAAGAAUUAUUGCUGGAUUUUCUUCAGCAGUUGCAGAAAAGAAAGCAGGAUAUAGCAGACAGUUUGCAGGACACUGUUGCUUUCCUUUCUUCUGACAUCAAUGAGGUACUCCACCAGCAAUCUGCACUUGGCCACUGUGUGAACUUCUCAACUGAUUUGGACAAAGAGGUGUGCUCUGGAACUGUUGAAGAUCAGAGUGAUUGCGGAUCCAGGAAGCGAUUCAGACCUGAGCUGCAAGGUGUUGACAUGGAGGAAAAUAAUCGUACUGUGGAAGAAUGUUCAAGAACAGUUCCAUCCUCUGAGUUAAUCCAGGAAAGUGUUCUGUCAAAAAGCUCCAGGUUGAUGAAGAACUUCAAAAAACUUGAAACAGCUUAUUUUCUAACAAGGUCCAAGUUGGCGAAGCAAGCUGGCAACCAAAUAAGUAAUCAUCAAAUUGUUAAGAGGGCUACUGGUUCAGCUAUUGGGACUGAGGGAAGUUCAAUAGAUGAUUUUUCUUUGGAAAGGCAAUAUGGUAGAAGGCAAAGAGGCUGGGUGAACUCUUUUCUUGAGGGGUUGUGCAAGUACUUGUCAUUCAGUAAGUUGAAAGUUCGGGCAGAACUGAAGCAUUGUGAUUUGCUGAACUCAUCAAACUUAGUAUGCUCCGUAGGGUUUGACCGGGAUAGAGAGUUUUUUGCAACUGCUGGUGUAAAUAAGAAGAUAAAAGUGUUUGAUUAUAAUAUGAUUGUAAAUGAACACCGUGAUAUUCACUAUCCCGUGGUAGAGAUGUCUAAUAGAUCAAAACUGAGCUGUAUUUGUUGGAACAGUUAUAUGAAGAGCCAUAUAGCAUCUAGUGAUUUUGAGGGUAUAGUACAGGUUUGGGAUGUUACUAGGAGUCAGGUUUUUGUUGAGAUGAGGGAGCAUGAGCGACGUGUGUGGUCGGUGGACUUCUCAAUUGUGGACCCAACAAAAUUGGUCAGUGGGAGUGAUGAUGGAUCUGUGAAGCUGUGGGAUAUGAAUCAGGCAAUUUUAUUCUUGCACCUACUGCUGGGAGUAUUGGUACUAUUAGGACAAGGGCAAACGUGUGUUCUGUGCAAUUUCAACCUGAUACUUCUCGCUCCAUUGCCAUCGGCUCUGCAGACCACAAAAUUUACUGCUAUGAUCUUCGUAACAUACGAGCUCCUUAUUGUACACUAGUUGGGCACACAAAGACUGUAAGCUAUGUUAAGUAUUUGGAUGCAUCAACAAUAGUAUCUGCGUCUACUGACAACUCAUUGAAGCUUUGGGACCUGUCGAUGAGUCGAGGAAGGAUAAUUGACAGUCCAAUUCAAACAUUUACGGGGCACACAAACACAAAGAACUUUGUUGGCCUUUCCAUAUCUGAUGGUUACAUCGCUACUGGCUCUGAAACAAAUGAGGUUUUUGUCUACCACAAAGAAUUUCCCAUGCCAGUGUUGGCAUAUAAGUUCAGCGUGACAGACCCUAUCUCAGGCCAGGAGAUUGAUGAUCAGUCACAGUUCAUUUCCUGCGUAUGCUGGAGAGGGCAGUCUUCAACGCUUCUUUCUGCAAACUCCAGCGGCAACAUUAAGAUUUUAGAAAUGGACUGAGGAUUGGAGUUUGCAUCUGCUGAGUCUCGGCUAUAAAUGGACUGACUUCUUACCAAGGUUGUGCACGUGUGUGGCUUCAAAGAUUGUGGCAACUAAAUUCAGAGUUGCCAACGGUGCGAGGUGCAGCUUAAUCCGAGUUGCAGAGUUGGGAGAGGUAGGAGUAGCUGGGAUAACAGAUUUAGUGUGGUUUGAUAGGAUUACAGAUUAGCGUGGUAGCAAAAGUAGCAUAAAUAGGAAACAGAAUUGAGGCGUGGGAUAGUCCCACAAGGAAAGGUUUUGUACAUCAUUGGUUCGAGGUAUACUUGUACAGGCAAUCAAUCCAGUUUUUACCUAGCAGCAUCAGGCUUUUGCUCUUGCGGCAGUGGUACUUGAAAGGCAAAAAGUAUGAAGCGGUCUACAUCUGUUGAAUCAAAGAUCAGCAUUUGGCUCAAGCUCUCUCUCUCUUUUAUUCCCAAUAUAAUAUUGAUAAAUGUGUUGGCCUUCCAGGCAUGCGGUGCCAGGCUUCGAUCAGGUAGUAUGGUUUUCUACGCAUCCUAGGACUUCUCGGCGUUCGUCUGCAGACGUGAGGGAGGAGCUGUGCAAGAGGAUACAAUAAUUGUCAUGAGCUUGCGAUAUACUUUCUUUCUCGAACGAGAACUUGUGAUAUACCCUGAUAUAUCCCUCCGUGCUGAAUUGUAAGAUGAUUUAACUUUUUUUAGAUAUAUACAAAUUUGUUAUGGCCUAUA
RNA transcript from Sorghum bicolor (sorghum), 3846 nucleotides. It is a transcript of the gene named protein SPA1-RELATED 4, with no coding region annotated. The record is from RefSeq and is a predicted model, not a curated record. The transcript has 7 exons. NCBI's taxonomy places the organism in Eukaryota, Viridiplantae, Streptophyta, Magnoliopsida, Poales, Poaceae.